AAAGAACCAUCAAGUAGAUCCCGGGAACUAUAAAUUACCCAAAAAAACAGUAAAGAGAAAUAGAACAUUUUGGAGAGUUGAGAGGCAAGUAAACUUACAUUAGCAGCAUGUAGGUAACCGAAAUUGAACGUCAGAUUGGCCCAUUUAUUAAGGUUAUAUGAAUUCUUCCAUUCUGUAAUCAAUUUAGCCAAUCGGAUAACCUUUAACCCAUGUUGUACAAGAAACAGGUUCAUCAGAGAGAAAAAUUCCUGGCCACUAAUUCUUUGACUAUAAGCUAGAAGCACCAACACCUGAAUAGUUUGUAGGAACUCCAAAAACAGUUAUUUCUCUUACUUCACCCUGCGGAAUACACAGAAAUGGAACUCCACAGACAUUUAUUUCUCUUACUCCUCUCAUGAUCCUACUGGUCCUGUUCAUUUCAACGCCAGAAACCAGUCUCGACGUUCCUUCCUCUAAAUUCAUUCAAGUCUUGAGACCUUGGAAAAACAAAAAAAUCAUCUUCAUCAUGGUCACAUAUACAAUAAUUGUAAUAAUAUAUAGCCUGAUCAUAAGUUCAGUAGGACUCUAUAAGUAUAUCAUCAAAUUAAUAAACAAGUCACUUACGAAGGAAAAUUAAAGUAAAUGAAGCAAAGCUUAAAUUCAGUUUCCUUCAAUUAAAUACAGGUGGAUCCUUCACGAAUCAGCACUUCAGUGGCUCAGUCUUCGGUGGAUGCUUAUGUUAUGUGUUAAUAAAUAUCAGAGGCACGACCCAAAGACUUCGAUUUUUCAAGUCAACCAGGAACACAUAAUUAUUGUUUGGGGUCCGCUUAUAAUAUUUUCAGGCUAGCUCUGUAGCUCAAGCAUGAAAAACGGGGAAAGUAAAGUGCAAGAAAAUUCCAGAUUCUUUUUUCAAUUGUUCUUUAUACUGUGUAGCUAAUGUACAAAAGUGAAAAUGAAUCUUUGCUUGCAUUUUUUUAAAUUAGCGGCAUAAAAAGAAUGGAGUGAAAAGUACAGAGACCUUGAAUGAUCAUUGAAAGCCAUUAAAGAAUGUAGACAAAAGUUAAUUGCAUUAGAAAGUACUAAUAAUGAAUUAUUUAGACAAAAUAUAGUAUUGCAAAAUCAAUGUCAGAUUUUAUUACUUAUCAGUUAUCACCAGAAAACUCAAAACACUUCAACAAAAGCUAGCACUAGAAGAAAUAUUUAACCAUUCCCCAGUAGGACAAUUAAUAAAAAUUCAAAAAAUUUCUUCCCUCAUUGGUGAUAGUAUAGACAUUGUAAAAAAAAUUUUAUUUCAGUAGCCAAUCAAAUAUUCUAUAGCAUAUUAAAUUUCUUAGAAUUGUUAAAUUACAAUAAGAAAUUUAUGCCAAAAUCUUAGUACAUUAAUAAGACCAUUAUAUAAUAAAUUAAGUAAAAAUGGACAAAAGUAUUUUAAAUUUUAUAGUGAAGAUAUUAAAUUAAUACAAAAACUUAAAGAAAUAGGAAUUUUUUUAAUCUACAUCAUCAUAUGUUAAUUCCUCAUUAUUACAUAAUUCUUCAAAUAAUUCUUCAUCUAAACAUUUUUAGGAUUAUUAAAUAUUAAUUCUAUAAUCUUAUCUCUAAUAUUAUGUAGAGUUUUCUCUUUAUCUGUAUUUAAAUUUUUUACUAUAGCAUAAAAAGAAUGGAGUGAAAAGUACAGAGACCUUGAAUGAUCAUUGAAAGCCAUUAAAGAAUGUAGACAAAAGUUAAUUGCAUUAGAAAGUACUAAUAAUGAAUUAUUUAGACAAAAUAUAGUAUUGCAAAAUCAAUGUCAGAUUUUAUUACUUAUCAGUUAUCACCAGAAAACUCAAAACACUUCAACAAAAGCUAGCACUAGAAGAAAUAUUUAACCAUUCCCCAGUAGGACAAUUAAUAAAAAUUCAAAAAAUUUCUUCCCUUAUUGGUGAUAGUAUAGACAUUGUAAAAAAAAAAAUUAUAAAAAUUUUUAGCAAGAUUUUAUUUCAGUAGCCAAUCAAAUAUUCUAUAGCAUAUUAAAUUUCUUAGAAUUGUUAAAUUACAAUAAGAAAUUUAUGCCAAAAUCUUAGUACAUUAAUAAGACCAUUAUAUAAUAAAUUAAGUAAAAAUGGACAAAAGUAUUUUAAAUUUUAUAGUGAAUAUAUUAAAUUAAUACAAAAACUUAAAGAAAUAGGAUUUUUUUUUUCUCUACAUCAUCAUAUGUUAAUUCCUCAUUAUUACAUAAUUCUUCAAAUAAUUCUUCAUCUAAACAUUUUUAGGAUUAUUAAAUAUUAAUUCUAUAAUCUUAUCUCUAAUAUUAUGUAGAGUUUUCUCUUUAUCUGUAUUUAAAUUUUUUACUAUAGCCAUAUUUAUUUCUAUUUCUUCUUCAUUUUCUUCUAAUUAUGGAUUACCUAUUUUUCUAUAAUUAUUAAACCUCUGUGUAACUUAAUUAUGUAAUUCUUAGUGCUUUCUAUCUUGCUAUCUAUUGCAUUUUCUUCCUCCGAUAGUGAGUCAAAAAAUGCAAUAUCUACUUCUUUUUCUAUUGCUAGUGAUUUCUUUUCGUAAGGCAAAAUAUGCAUCUCAAAUUUAGGUUGUACAAAUGUUGAUUUUUUAAAGAAAUUUAUCCCAUUAGUAGUUGUUAAUAUACUACUAUUAUCUUCUAAUAUAAAAUUUAAUCCUAAAAUAAACUUAUAUCCUACUUUUUUACAACAGAUAAAUGUUUGAGGAACUCUAUUAACGGUUUCUCUAAACUCAUUCAUUUACUGUUAAUUUUAUUAAAUUUAAUUGUAUUUGUAAAUCUCUUUGUGUAUUUUUAAUAUUUUUUAUUUCAACUUUUAAAACUUCUACAAGACUUUUGAUUUAUAAUUCUACUAGUUUAGGUGCUUUUAUGUCUAAUAAUUUUAUUAAUUCUAUUAUUUCUUUUUUAUUACGGAACCUUGUAAUUUGACUAUUAAAAUCAGCUAAUGACUCUUUAAUAUAGUCUAAAUUCUUUCUUCGUGUAUUUUAUGUUACUUGCUUCAAAAAAUUGUCCUAACCGUAAUACUAGUUCUUUAAGCUUUUCUAGUUUAACUUCUAAGUGCUGUCCAAGAUUAAUUAUUAAGUCUAUUGUUGACCAUUACUCGUAUAUGGAAUAUGUUUAUAUUGAUUUUCUAAAUGCUCUAUAUUAUGAUUAAGUUUAAUUUUAUUUUCCUAUGACUACUAAUUUGUAAAUCCAAAUAUGCUAGUUUUUGAAAAUUCAUAAACUAAUUCUUUAACUAUUCUAGUUUAUUUCUAAUUUUAAAAAUUACAUUUUCAUAAUGAUCUAAUAAAUUUAGUUGUCUAUUGUAACUAUAUUUUACUAUAGAUAAGUGUGUAAGAGUGUAAUAUCUAACACUGACUUUUUUUUUUUUUAAUCAUUAUAGGGUCUAAUGGAUUUUUUUUUUAAUCAUUAUAGGGUCUAAUGGAGAUGUGUAAUCUACUAGAAGUUUAUUAUUUUCUAAUCUUUUUUCUAUUAAAUUAUUUAAUAUAGAGUGUUCUGCACUAAUUUCUACUUUUUUCUAGCUCUACAAUUUUUAAAGCAAUUUCUAAUUUUUCGGUAAAAGGAUUAAUCACAAAUACCCACAGCCAAAUUUGCUUUUGAAAGACUUGGAUUUUGCAGUCUUAUGUGUGACAUUUGUGCUGUGUUAUCUAUGGCCGCAUCCAAUCAUAUCUUACUAAAUUUUUGUACCGCGCUACCUAAAAUUUUCCCACUACCGGUAAUUUGAUAAGAGUCUUUGUCUUCUUCAGUCAGGCACGAAAAAAAAAAUGUUGGUUCAGAUCUAACUAUUCAAUCAAGAGCUAGCUCAGGACAAAAAGAAGUGUGCAAUUAGGGGACGAUACCGUAGACAGACAAUAGACAAAUUUUUCUUUGAAUGGUUUACUUUUGACUAAAUGAUCGGUGAUCCAACACCACUGAUCGUUUUUCAAAGGGACCCAUGUUAUGGAUGAAAAUUGAUAAAACUUGAACCCUAUUUUUUUUUCCCCCUCUCCGUUGUGUGAAUCAACCUUGGUUAAUUAAACUCACCGAAAUUGGAGGGGGAAAAAAUCUUGAAAAUACAUAAUAAUCUGCUCCAUUUCUACUUAAAAACUUUCUCUUUUAUGCAUCAUACUGGCCUUAAAUUCUUGCAGCAGAAAGCAAAACGCAGGGACCAUAAAGCCAUCAAUAGUUCUCUAAAUUUCCAAAUAUAUGCAACAACAAUAGUCAGUACACAAACUACUUUCAGGAGAUUUAUUUAACAACUUAGAAACGAGAUGUAAUUUGUAUUUAAAAUAUAAAUCAAUGACUAUAAGCUUAUUAUAACAAGCAUAGGAUGUGACCAGCCUAUUUUUCUUUAGCAAUAAAAUGAGGUUCCACAAGCUGCCUGGACAUAGGGUGUGUUUGGGAGAGCAGCUGCCUAUAUUCUAGGAGGAUAUGCCAGUGCGGCUGCCUCAAACGUAGGGAUGACAAAUAUUCAAUUAUGGAUGGAUAAUAUCCAUCCAAACACAAAUCCAUAAUUAUCCAUAAUGGAUAUAUCCAAAUCCAUACACAAUAUUUAAUAUUGGACAUGUAUAUGGAUUUUAUCCAUAUAACUAUGGAGAUCCAUGGAUAUCCAUGGAUAUUUUAUUUUUAUUAUAUAAAAAUAAUAAUCUAAAAUAGUUAAAAUUUCAAUAUUAAAUUUGGUUAUUAAACUAUUUAUAUUACUAAUAAUAUAUAUAUAUAUAUAAUAAAAUGGAGGUCCGGCGACGGUUCGGCGAUGUCCGACGGUGGUCCGGCAACUUUCCGGCGAAUUCAGGCGGAGCUCCGGCAACUUUCCGGCGAAUUCCUGCGGAGGUCUAGCGAAAUUCCGGCGAGGUCCGGUGGUGGUCCAAUGACUUUCCGGUGGAUGUCCAUUUAUAAUAUUAAAUUAAUAAAAUAAAAUAAUAAUUAUUAAUAGUCUGCUGUAUUUUUAUAAUUGUUUGUUUAUUAUAUUUUUUAUUUUUUAUUUUAUAAAAUUAAAAUUUUUUAAACUUGUUUUGAGUUAAACGGAUAUCCAUUGGGUAAAUAUAAUUAUCUAUAUCCAUCCAUAUUCAUCUGGAUAUAAUUUUAAAAUAUCCAUUUCAAAAUCCAAAAUUUUUUGGAUGGAUAUUAUCCGAUCCAAUUGGAUGGAUAUUGUGGAUAUCCAUUAUGAAGCGAUCCAGUUGCCAUCCCUACUCAAAUGCACACAUAAUUGUGGGGCGCUCUGUCUAGACGUUUCUGUAUUCCUUGUAGAAUGAGAGAAAGUUCCUUUCACAGCGGCCAUGAGCAAUUUUAUGAAUGAAGUUGCCUGGAUGAAUAGAGCUGCCCUACUAGGCUUAAUGAGUGACAUUUUUCAAGUCAUCAGCCAUAGACAAAAGGCUUCAACUUUAUGCUUGAAAAGCUCUGGUUGAGAUGGCACGCUGAAGUAUUGUUGGCUUGCUCUUACUAUCUGUCCAUGGCUACCAGAAAAUGAGAAAAUUCUUUUUACAAUGUCCUGGAAUAAUUUUAAAAAUCGAGCUGCUUUAAUGAAUGGAGCUACUCGUUUCUGCUCAAAGAGUAAUAAAUCAUCGGCUGUGAGAACAAAGGCUAUAAUAAAUCAUCAACUUUUGUAAGCGCUUGAAUGGUUCCUGUUGAGGUAGGGAGGUCAGAUGAAAAAUGGUCAAUUCUCCAACUCCAAGUCAACGAAUAUGCGUCUCCUAAUGAUUCAUAGCAAUCGUCACAUGAUUUCUUGACGAGCGAGAUAUACUGCUUCCCAUGUUAUAGUUUAUAGGGUGAUUAUGAUAUAUGUAGACCAGGGGUUACGCCUUGACCUUGACCUUGGAUACUUUGUUGAUGAUUUAAUUCUAGCAAUGUCUGAUGGGUCUCAUUUGACAAUUAAUAACAAUCCUGCUACCAGAUACCUGCUCAUCAUGGCUGGUCUUGUGGAGGUAUUACCCCCAAACAGGCUCCAUCGAAUACAAAGCAAGAACCUCAGAGAUAAACUGUUUUGCUCCAUAACACCAGAAUUAAUAGCAUCAAAGAAUAUCCCAAAAUCAUAGAUAGUUGCAUUUUGAGUCUUUGUAGAGCAAAAAUCAUUAGAAAAUGUGUAGCCUGGCCCAUUUAGUUUGUUUAUAUGAAUUCUUCCUUUCUUUAAUCAAUGCAUACAAUCGCUUAACCUUUAGCAAAUGUUGGACAAUAAACAGUUUCAUCACAGAGAAAAAUUUCUGGCCACUCAUCACGUUACUAUAAACUAAAAGCACCAACACCUGAACAGUUUGUACACCAUAAAGAUAGAAUUAUCAAUUAUGAAAUAUGAUUCCAUAUGAAAAGAAAAAGAAAAUUACAACCUAUGUGUGCUUGCUAGGAAUCCAACAUAAAUUGGUUUGGGCGUCCAUAGGUGUGCGCGCGUGCCCUUGCUUGGCUAAUUGGAACAAAUAAGUAAAAAGUACGACAGAACAAACAUUUACCUGUGGGAGUGGAAGAAUGAUGGCGAGAUCAAAUAGGAAGACGGGCAACAGAGAUAUGCUAUAAUUUCGAUGCCAAUUCUCCCAUAGUUGAAAAGCAUUAUUUAUCAAAAAAUAUAUAUCACAUCCUGUGCGUUCAACAAUACCCACCCUCAAAACCCAUAUGUCAAAUUGGAAGCACUUUUUGUCAUCGUUGAUCACGGGAAGGUACAAGAAAACAGGAUCAAAUACCAUGGAAUACACAUAAAUCAGCAAAAAAUUAACUUCCAGGAAACGUUUCGGCAGAUCACGAAUCUGCUGAAGGGAUGUUUUUUCUCCAUUACUCAAGCUUUCGAUCCGAGUGCGAUAAACAGAUUUUCCUGCUUCUCUCGCGCUCCUACUGAUGCUGUCCAUUUCAACACUAGCAACCCGUCUCGGCGUUCCUUCCUCUAAAUUCAAGUCCCGAGACUUCAUCGUCAUCACCAUAUACGAUAAUUGUAAUAAUACAUAGCUUGCACUUCAGCUCAGUAGGGCUCUAUACGUAUGUCAUUAAAUUAAUAGACAACUCGCUUAAGGCUUACAUAAUCAACGAAGGGGAAGGGAAAUUUAAGUAAAUGAAGCAAAGCUUGAUUUCAGUUUCCUUCAAUUAAAUACAGGUGGAUCCUUCACAAAUCAUCACUUCAGUGGCUGAGUCUUCGGAGUUCAGAGCAUGCUUAUCUUAUGUGCUAAUAAGUAUCUAGACACUGUGGUUCCUCAAGACUUUGACUUCAUGCACAAUUAAUCAAACAACCAAAAAAAAAAAAUUUCCAAUAAAUAUGUAAUUUCUGUAGCACCUUUUGAUUGAGUUGGGGCCGCAGGCAACUAAUAGUUACGACUUGAGGUUAGAACUUAUCCAUAUGCACAUUCUCAAUCUACGGUUCAUUAACCAAAAUUUUGGCCCCGAGAGGCUGCAAGCCUUAUCACGUCCCUCGUGUUUUUUGCUCACUAGUAGAAUUGAGUCUUUGUGCUUAUUGCUCAAGAUAAAUGUAAGCCUUACAAAUAUGAACUUGUUAAGAAUCCAAAUCCAAACUUGUGAACAAUGUCACGAUGCCCAUUACAAAUUUGAGCAAUGGUAGGAACAGUCGGGGCCUGCGUCCCCGGUCGCUUUAGAAAAUUUUUGAAGACCUCUGACCUUACUUCCUUUGAUUUUAUAAAAAUAUCCCAUUUGAGUUUUAAAAUUAUGAAAAGUUCAGUGCUUAUCUCUAGUUCAAAAAUUGAACUUACUUACUGCUAGUUCAAACACUGAAUUUUUGUGUAAAAAAUAAAUCAAUGGUCAUAUAUUGUUAUUUAAAUUCUUAUGAAAUUGUAUUAUACUAAUAAGGGUUUAAAAUGGAGAUAAAGAAAUCUCAUUUGUUAAAGACUAAUUCUCACCCUUUAUUAUUAUUUGAACUCAGAUGACUGCGGGUGCAAAACAUUUUUUCAGUCAGCUGAAUUUCAUUAAGAGAUGACAUUGUAUUAUAUGUUGAAUUUGAUCCAAUCGAAAAUUUUUUCUGGCUCGUCACUCUCAGACAUAACUUAGUUCACUAUAUGAGCAUAUUACGUGAUUGAAUUUCAUUGUCUUUUGUUGAUUCUCUGACCAUCUUAUGAUGUCUAGAUUGUAGUAUAUAAACCAGGUAAUAGAAGUCUAAAUACUUUGUAUAUAAAUUUUAAUGUCAUACUGUAAUUACUGUCUGCCAAUACUAUUGUAUUUUUCACUUUUACAGUCAGAAAAUUGUGCUGGGGCUUACUUAUGAUACGAGAAAUGUCUCAUUUUUAUCAAAAGAAAAUUACACUGCAAUAUACGUCCGUGGCAGGCAAACAAAGGACGGUUAAGGUAUCUUCAUCUGGAUUUGUAAUCUCGUUGAUGUAGAGUUUUACAUCAUUAAAGAUUCCGCCACGUGUCACACAUGAACGAAUCUGGCACGUGCCGACCACAAUCUCCCAUCUCAUUAUGUUCCUUCCAGUUUUCUCUCACUUUCUCGCGACAGAAAGUGUCGAACUCAAUAACAAAUAAAAAUUUCACAAACCCUUUUUCAAGUGCAUUGCAUAAACACUUUCUCACUCCCUGAAAAGUUGUUAAAGGUACAAUUUUUAACACCCUUUCUGGUUAAAAAAAAAAUGCAUUUCUGAUUCUACCAGGCACUUGAACAGGCUUCGGUUUCUUUGGUUUUGUAAAUUAAUGGUAAAACAAAUUAAAGAUUAAAGCUUUUAGGGGUUUGCUUGCUUCUUGCUGUUCAUUUUGGUUUCGCAAUUAUUAAAUUUUUAAUUACAGUUCUCGUACAUUCGUGCAUUGAUUUUUUUUUUUAUUAAGAUUCAUUCAAUAUCGUGUUUGUGUUAGGUGCUUGGUUCUUAUAUGUUGUUGGGUAUUGGUGAAUGAAUGAGAUGACAAUCUGUUCAUAAUUAUUAUUAGGCAAUGGUAAAAAGAAAAAAAAUUAAUUCUGUUAGUUUGGUUGGUGAGAGUAGUCGAAAAUAUUUAAUGAACUACGAAUACUUGCGAAUGGGUGAAUCACGUAAUCUUAAUUUUUGUGAAGCCGUGUAUUCGCAAAGGCAAGUGUGUGGGCGUUAGGGGUGGGCAAAUUCGGUUUGGAUCGGUUUGAAAUAUUUUCAAACCGAUAUCAACCUAAAAUUUUUUCAAACCGAACCGAUCCAAACUGAUUGGAUCAGUUUGGAUCGGUUUGGAUCCUCGGUUUGAGCUUAUUAGCUAAAAGCCCACUUCUUUUAUAUUAUUUUACCUAAAUUAUUUGUUUUUUUUUGUGUCCGUAAUCCAAAUUGAUACCUCUUUUAUAUUAUUCAUAUCUACUUUGAUAUCUACAUAACAAUUCAAAGAUACAUCCAUACAAGUUUGCAGCAUAAUACAUCCUAAUAAAGAUGUUCUUAACAUGUUCAUUCAAAACAAACUCACAAAAUUAAAAUAAACUUAAACAACAUUUGACAAUUAAAAUAUUGUGCAUCUUGUCCGUCAAAACUUAUGGCCCAAUUACUUUUGAUUUGUCAAAAUCUGCAUAAAAUGAUAAAUAUAAUUAGUUAGAUUGCUUAACUUAGAAUAUAAUGUAAUUAUAUAAUAUUUCUAGAUUGGAUCGGUUUGAAUCGGUUUGGAAUCCUUCCAAACCGAAAUCCAAACCGAGUGAUGUCGGUUUGCAAUCCAAUAAACUAAAAUCAGUUUUUUUACUAAUGAAACCGAUCCAAAUGAUCGGUUUGGAUCGGUUCGGUUAAAAUAUGCCCACUCCUAGUGGGCGUGGUUGAUAGGAAACUGAGAAGCACAAAUGCACAACAACUUCUUUCACAAUUUUUAAAUUUUGAAUUGAUUGCACUGCACGCAAGUUUCAAAUUUUGUUAGUUACAAUAAUAAAAUCGAUAUGACUACUACAUGUCUCCAUUUUACAACAGGAGUGCACGGCACCAAUCAAAAAUUAAAUUUUUUAUUAUUUAAUAAUAAAAAAAUUCUGGAUUAAUUUUAUUGCACACCCAAUGAACAAAACAAACAAAAACUAAAAAAAAUAAAGUAAAUAUCAUUGUCGGUGGCCAUCUUUAUCCAGUCAUCAAAGAAUUGGGUAAAAUUAUUGAGUGUUUUAAGUGUAUUAUUAUUCUGUGUGUUUUUUAAAUUAUUAAUUAUUUAUUGUGGUUAUAUAUUAAUUAUUCGUAAUAAUAUUUUAUAUACAUAUUAAAAUGAAUAGAUAAAAAAUAAUACUCUUCAAGUACCAAAGAAUUUUUCUCUCUUAUAAAUUGAAUCCAAUAAUUUAGUUAUAUUUAUCUCAUUAUCUGUAAUCUAUUAUUACAAAUAUUUAAACUUAAAACAUACAAAUCAAGAUAAUGUGAUUGUUAAAUUAAAACUCUUUCCAAAGUCAAUAAGUAAUCUUUCACAGCUUACAAGGCCUCAACUGAUGAGCAUUUAUUUAUGCAUUUUGGAUGGCCAUAGGAAUUAUAAAUCUUCCAGAGGCAUCAGAUUAAGGACGAAUUACAAUAAAUAAUAAGUAAAGCGAUUGUCACAAAAAAAAAUUUUAUUUCAAGAAUAAUUAGUGUUCAUAAAGAGUUAUGGAUGCAUUAGCGUUUAUUUAUUCAUUUCAUGUACUGAAUAAAAUGGGUGGCUAACUUAUAUUUAAAUUGUCAAAUGGUUCUGUUUCGGCAAUAUAAACUUGGUACUUAUGUUUUGGAAAAUUUUUAAGAUUAUAUAAAAUACUGUUGCUUGUUUAGGAAAAUAACUGUUUGAUGUUUUGGCAAUAUACCCAAGGUAAUGUUGCACUCCGUUCUAUUGAUAUCUGUAGUUCUAUUAAUCUUUUGAUAAUCAUUUUUUUGAAGUUUGACAGCUUCAGAAACGAUAUUAAUCUCAAUUGUUUUUAUCAUUAAGUUCAAACUUUGAAUUUUCUACUUAAUGAUGUUUUGAGAAGUGGGAAAUUUGUUGUUUAUGCUUUAGAUUGCAUAAGUCCAGACACAAGAUUUGGUUAUGGAAUUGAAUGUAUCCUGUGAAAUCUUUUUACGAUUGAGGGUUCUUUUCUUGGUUACAGUGGUGUCAUUGGGUUUCUGAUAUGCUCAACAGAGGGACCUCAUGUUGAUUUUGCGAACCCCAUUAAUCCUAUUGAGAAGUUGGAUGGAGCUGACAAGCAUAAAAGAGAAUUAAGGUUCUAUACCUCAGAGGUAAAGGCUCCUCAUUUCAAGUCUAGCUUUCCUUGGUCGUUGCUUCUUGAUUCUUUUUCUUAGAUAACCUAAAUGCUUGUGUGGUUGAAUUGUCAUUGAGUUAAUAUUUUGGUAGUGUUACUGUGUUAGAUGAGAAAGUAUGAUGGCCUGCAUUUAAUAUUUGUGUUGUGUUGACAGAUUCAAUUAUAUAGUUGCCUCCGCGUUGCCUGCAUUUUUGAAGAGGGAGGUGAGCGUACUUAGUGAUUCUCCAACUCCAAGUCAACGAAUCUGCGCGUCCUAAUGAUUCAUAGCAAUCAUCCCAUUUAUUUAUGAUUAGCGAGAUUUAGUGCUUCCCAUGUUAUAGUUUAUAGGAUGAUUAUGAUAUAUGUAGACGAGGGGUUACGCCUUGAGCUUGACCUUGGAGACUUUGUUGAUGAUCUGAUUAUAGCAAUGUAUCAUGGUUCUUGUUAAGUAAAUAAGAGCAUCAGCUCUGCCAUAUCAUCAUCCCCACCCCGGGGUGGGUCACCUCAGCCAAAUGGUACGAGCAGAGCACUGAUAAUGAGCCUUAUACAAGCAUGGACCGACCAAAGAUGAGUACCGGCCAGGGGGAUACACCGACCAGAGACAUAUACCGAGCAGAUACUCAUUCCCCAAAGAGCGGGAACACGAUCUCACAAGAUCUCGACAGUUGCGCUUUUCCCAGAACUGUUGAGGGAGACACGAUGUCCCAUGUUUGCCCACAAUGUAGCAGUUGGAGUCCCAUGAGGGGCUGCCAUGACCCGAGAAAGGGGGGAUGAAGGGUGAUCAGAAACGUGGGACAGCGGCUAUAAAAGAGGAAGAAACCAAUGAAAAAGAGAUAAGAAAACUGAGAGAGAGGGAAAACUCUGCCAAAAUGAAACUAGACUGUUUUUCUGCCUAAAUUGAGAGCGAAUCGUAAGCCAUUCUGAAAUCUAAAUUGAACCGUUUUCCCGUAAACACCUUGUGCUAACUUAGGCAUCGGAGGGUUUACGCCGGUAAAACCACCGGCGUCUCUGAUCCAUUUCUUUGUGAAUGCAGGAUUAGCGAGAUAAAAAGGGGUGAUUUCAACCUAGUGACGUAAGCGGUCGUUAAGGCAAGGAGAGAGUGACAUCGUCCCAUCAAACAUAUAAACGUUGGUGGAAAAUCUGGUCGGGUAAAGGGCGAGCAGAUUUCAACAUCAACAGUUCUCAUUUGACAAUUAAUACUUAUUUUAUUAUAUUAAUAGCUUACUUUUAAACUUCAUGAAAAUUAUAUGAUUAUCGUUCAAUUUAGAUUUUCUUUUAUUAUAAAAGUUUUGCCAGUGGCCAUCUUAGCGAUGGAUUGAUUAAUAAAAUUUUCCCAUUAUAGGAUGGAAUAAAUAUUAAAAUCAGGAACACACUAAUUUAAUAUCAUUCGAUGUAUCUCUACUAGUUAUAAUUUCUAUUAUCUUCAUCAUCCAAGUCACCUAAGAAUUUUCCCAUCUUUACUGAGUGCUGACAGUGCCACAAGCAAGCCAAGAUAUUAGUUUGUUAAGUUCUCUUGUGAGUCAACUCUGCGCGCGUGUGUUAGAGCUUGGUAAUUCCAUUACGGACUGAAGUUUAGCAGUUAAAUGCUUACUCCCUUGGUGUACGCAUAAUUUCUGAAUGAUACAUUUUGCUGGAAAAGAGACGGUCCAUACUGCCAUCCGAACUAGAAAUUAGGACAUAGAAAAUAUAUAUAAUCAAACACUAUAACGGAGUAAUGCUAACUUCAUAUAUAUACACAUCAACUGUAUCAGGCUUCGGUUUCGAAUAUCUCAAACUCAUAUACUUCCGUCCAAAUUUAUUCUUGGGAUAGGUCCUUAAUUAAGAUCAUGAACACGCCCUAAAAUACUAACGAUGCCGCAUCUGAUCUGAAUGCUCAAACUAUUAUUUUAGUAGCCGACGCUUGCGCACUCCAUCUAGUUUGUCAGAAUACUUGCAUACGGUAGCUGCAUUGUUUUGCUUAAUUAUCAAUAUUCAAUAGUACCUGCUUUAAAUCAUAUGCCAUAAGAACAAAUGCUUCAACUUUUGUAAGCGCUUGGAUUGUUUUAGUUGAUAUAGGGAGGUUGGAUGAGUUGUGGCCAGCCUUCGCCCAAGCAAUGAGUUCUUCUCCAGAAAAGUCACCACCUUCCAGAUGGUUGUUCAGGUUACCAGAAUUGCUUGAUAAUUCAGUUACCCUCCUGGAAGUGUAGGUCCAUAACUUGCCUUGUAGCACGAAGAGCAUUUGAUCAAUUGGGUUUUCCUCCUGGAUAAUGUAAGAGCGCUCUGUGAAGACAGCUGGCUUCACAACAUCACACAGUUUCUCCAACGAUGAACCAUCCAAGUUUCCAAACUCUUCUACCUAUACAAACAUACAUCCAAUAUUGUUACUGUAAUCUAAAAGGCUCAAUGCUGAUAAUGAAAUUCAGCUUCUGAAUGCAGAAAAUUGAAAAUAAAAGUUGAUCUAGAACUAUCUCAGCUAAAAUGAGAUUCAUUCCCCAACGCUAAAAACAUAUCAGGGUUGAGUUUAUGUUGAGGUGAUGUGGACUUUAGCUAUUGCGCUUUCAAAACCAUGCAAAAGUUCAAAUAGUUACAAACAUUUACCCUUGAGUUUAUUCGAUCGAGUUAAAGAAGAGGAAAAUAUUUUCAUUAGUUUUUCGGAUUGUUGUUUAUAUGCUGCUAGCCUCUCCUUUGUCAGUUCCACAAAUUCAGAAGUAGGAGGCACAAAUAUAGUUGUAAAGAUCUCUUACUCACUUUUUUUAGCAGGUCUAAGCAGAGUUUUUGUUUUAUGUUCUUCCUGAGGUCCUCUGGAAGAUUGUUCACCAGAUAUUCUACAUCAAUACCUGUGGUUUCUUGCACUUUGGAUAACUGAUGUUCCUUGAUCUCCAUUUGGAGUUUCUCAGGGAGCUUUUCAACGGGCCGCCACUUGUAUAUUUCUUGUACCUUCUGUCUUAUCUCCUCUGCUUUUGACAUUUCAGACUGCAAAUUGCGCAAGAAUCAUAGUUCAUAGAAAAUUAAAAUUUAUUGUGCUUCAUCUCAAUCAACCAUAAAGAACCCAUUUUAAGAGACAAGAAUCAGACGAGAAAAUAAAAUAAAAUAAAAUAAAAUAAAGAUACACCAACCUGGACCUUUCCAAUCAAGAAGAAAAACAGCACUACCCCAGUGAUGGUAAUUGAAAUCACAAAGAUGUUUUCCAAGACAUUGGUACUGAAUGGGAGACCUUGACCAAAAGAACUGCAAAGUCAAACCCACAAAUUUAUUAGAACUAAUGUUUUUGAGUUUAAUUGCUAAAAAAACAUAAAAAUACGUAUGCGUAAUUAUAUGCACCAAAAACAUAGAAAGGCAUAUGCACAAAGAUUGUUACAAGGAGAAUGAUGUAUAUCCACAACUUAACCUGAGAUUUUGCAGGCUCCAUCGAAUACAAGGGAAGAACCUCAGAAAUAAAUUGUUUUGCUCAAUAACACUAGAAUUAAUAGCAUCAUAGAAUAUCCCAAAAUGGUAGGUAGUUGCAAUUUGAGUCUUUGUAGAGCAAAAAUCAUUAGAAAAUGUGUAGUUUGUUAAACUGUUGUCACAGUGUAAGGGAAGGAGACGGCAUUUGGCAGAAUCUGUGCAGGCUUUCCUCCAACAUUCGGUCUUUCUUUGUAGAGCAAAAAAGUACCAUAAUGCUCCAAACCCCUAAACAACCAUCAAUUAGAUCAUCAGGAAUUAUAAAUUACCCAAAAAGAGUAAAGAGAAAUAGAAUAUAUUGGAGACUUGGGAGGCAAGUAAACUUACAUUAGCAGCAUGUAGGUAAAAGAGAUUGAACGUGAGCCUGGCCCAUUUAGUUUGUUUAUAUGAAUUCUUCCUUUCUUUAAUCAAUGCAUACAAUCGGAUAACCUUUAGCAAAUGUUGGACAAUAAACAGGUUCAUCACAGAGAAAAAUUUCUUGCCACUCAUCACGUUACUAUAAACUAGAAGCACCAACACCUGAACAGUUUGUACACCAUAAAGAUAGAAUUAUCAAUUAUGAAAUAUGAUUCCAUAUGAAAAGAAAAAAAUUACAACCUGUGUGCUUGCUAGAAAUCCAACAUAAAUUGGUUUGGGCGUCCAUAGGUGUGCGCGCGUGCCCUUGCUUGGCUAAUUGGAACAAAUAAGUAAAAAGUACGACAGAACAAACAUUUACCUGUGGGAGUGGAAGAAUGAUGGCGAGAUCAAAUAGGAAGACGGGCAACAGAGAUAUGCUAUAAUUUCGAUGCCAAUUCUCCCAUAGUUGAAAAGCAUUAUUUAUCAAAAAAUAUAUAUCACAUCCUGUGCGUUCAACAAUACCCACCCUCAAAACCCAUAUGUCAAAUUGGAAGCACUUUUUGUCAUCGUUGAUCACGGGAAGGUACAAGAAAACAGGAUCAAAUACCAUGGAAUACACAUAAAUCAGCAAAAAAUUAACUUCCAGGAAACGUAUCGGCAGAUCACGAAUCUGCUGAAGGCAUGUUUUUCCUCCAUUACCCAAGCUUUCGUUCAGAGUGCGAUAAACAGAUUUUGCUGCUUCUCUCGCGCUCCAACUGAUGCAGUCCAUUUCAACACUAGCAACUCGUCUCGGCGUUCCUUCCUCUAAAUUCAAGUCCCGAGACCUGAAAAAAUAAAGUCAACUUCAUCGUCAUCACCAUAUACGAUAAUUGUAAUAAUACAUAGCUUGCACUUCAGCUCAGUAGGGUUCUAUACGUAUGUCAUUAAAUUAAUAGACAACUCGCUUAAGGCUUACAUAAUCAACGAAGGGGAAGGGAAAUUUAAGUAAAUGAAGCAAAGCUUGAUUUCAGUUUCCUUCAAUUAAAUACAGGUGGAUCCUUCACAAAUCAUCACUUCAGUGGCUGAGUCUUCGGAGUUCAGAGCAUGCUUAUCUUAUGUGCUAAUAAGUAUCUAGACACUGUGGUUCCUCAAGACUUUGACUUCAUGCACAAUUAAUCAAACAACCAAAAAAAAAAAAUUUCCAAUAAAUAUGUAAUUUCUGUAGCACCUUUUGAUUGAGUUGGGGCCGCAGGCAACUAAUAGUUACGACUUGAGGUUAGAACUUAUCCAUAUGCAUAGUCUCAAUCUACGGUUCAUUAACCAAACUUUUGGCCCCGAGAGGCUGCAAGUCUUAUCAUGUCCCUCGUGUUUUUUGCUCACUAGUAGAAUUGGAUCUUUGUGCUUAUUGCUCAAGAUAAAUGUAAGCCUUAACCUGAGAGCUUGCAGGCUCCAUUGAAAACAAGGCAAGUACCUCCGAAAAAAAUAGUUUUGAUCCAAAACACCCGAUUGAAUAGCAUCACGGAAUAUCCCAAAAUCAUAGAUAGUUGCAUUUUGGGUCUUUGUAGAGCAAAAAUCACUAAAAAAUGUGUAGUUUGUUAAACUGUCAUCGCAGUGCAAAGGAAGGAAAUCACAUCUGGUAAAAUCUGUGCAGGCUUUCUUCCAACAUUCAGCCUUUCUUUGUACAGCGAAAAAGUACCAUAAUGAUCCAAACACCUAAAGAACCGUCAAGUAGAUCACCAGGAACUAUAAAUUACCCAAAAAACAGUAAAGAGAAAUAGAACAUUUUGGAGACUUAAGAGGCAAGUAAACUUACGUUAGCAGCCUGUAGGUAACCGAAAUUGAACGUCAGAUUGGCCCAUUUAUUAAGGUUAUAUGAAUUCUUCCAUUCUGUAAUCAAUUUAGCCAAUCGGAUAACCUUUAACCCAUGUUGUACAAGAAACAGGUUCAUCAGAGAGAAAAAUUCCUGGCCACUAAUUCUUUGACUAUAAGCUAGAAGCACCAACACCUGAAUAGUUU
This 16766-nucleotide long non-coding RNA is filed under the name Citrus sinensis (sweet orange). RNAcentral's name for it is "long non-coding RNA (CSIN_LNC004012)". The record is from RNAcentral. Lineage: Eukaryota; Viridiplantae; Streptophyta; Magnoliopsida; Sapindales; Rutaceae.